GAUGAAGAACGUAGCGAAAUGCGAUAACUAAUGUGAAUUGCAGAAUUCCGUGAAUCAUCGAGUCUUUGAACGCACAUUGCGCCCCCUGGUAUUCCGGGGGGCAUGCCUGUCCGAGCGUCAUUACAACCCUCAAGCCCGGCUUGUGUAAUGGGCGGCCGUCUCUCCCCCCGGGGGGAGACGCCCCCGAAACUCAGUGGGGAUGUCGCGAUACCGAAGCCUCAGCUAAUGGGUAAACCACAGCUGCAAUGGCCGCGGCCGGCGUCCGCCUUCCACGGUCCGUCCGCCUAGCGCGGGCGGCCUUCUCAAGGUUGACCUCGGAUCAGGUAGGGAUACCCGCUGAACUUAAGCAUAUCAAUAAGCGGAGG
RNAcentral lists this unclassified non-coding RNA (365 nucleotides) under soil metagenome. Its description in RNAcentral is "partial contains 5.8S ribosomal RNA, internal transcribed spacer 2, and large subunit ribosomal RNA". The stretch from base 1 to 120 matches the Rfam family "5.8S ribosomal RNA", at positions 35 to 154 of the family's 154-position model. The record is from RNAcentral.